GGAUCGUGUUACGUUUCAUGGCGUCAACCAGCCUCGACGCGGGAAGUCGGUGUGAAUCCGACGCGGUACCCGCCACUGUGACCGCUUCACGCGGCAGCCAGACCUCCGCUCGAGCUGAUCUCGUC
This 125-nucleotide non-coding RNA is filed under the name Gordonia malaquae. The record is from RNAcentral. Lineage: Bacteria; Bacillati; Actinomycetota; Actinomycetes; Mycobacteriales; Gordoniaceae. RNAcentral also lists the same sequence under 1 other name.